This 467-nucleotide ribosomal RNA is filed under the name uncultured bacterium. RNAcentral's name for it is "partial 16S ribosomal RNA". It matches the Rfam family "Bacterial small subunit ribosomal RNA", at positions 29 to 507 of the family's 1533-position model. The record is from RNAcentral.
ACGAACGCUGGCGGCGUGCUUAACACCUGCCAGUCGAACGGAAAGGCCCUGCUUUUGUGGGGUGCUCGAGUGGCGAACGGGUGAGUAACACGUGAGUAACCUGCCCUUGACUUUGGGAUAACUUCAGGAAACUGGGGCUAAUACCGGAUAGGAGCUCCUGCUGCAUGGUGGGGGUUGGAAAGUUUCGGCGGUUGGGGAUGGACUCGCGGCUUAUCAGCUUGUUGGUGGGGUAGUGGCUUACCAAGGCUUUGACGGGUAGCCGGCCUGAGAGGGUGACCGGCCACAUUGGGACUGAGAUACGGCCCAGACUCCUACGGGAGGCAGCAGUGGGGAAUAUUGCACAAUGGGCGGAAGCCUGAUGCAGCAACGCCGCGUGCGGGAUGACGGCCUUCGGGUUGUAAACCGCUUUCGCCUGUGACGAAGCGUGAGUGACGGUAAUGGGUAAAGAAGCACCGGCUAACUACGUG